This 305-nucleotide ribosomal RNA is filed under the name uncultured bacterium. Its description in RNAcentral is "bacterial SSU rRNA". It matches the Rfam family "Bacterial small subunit ribosomal RNA", at positions 333 to 655 of the family's 1533-position model. The record is from RNAcentral.
GCUUACCUACGGGGCGCAGCAGUGGGGAAUAUUGCACAAUGGGGGAAACCCUGAUGCAGCGACGCCGCGUGAGUGAAGAAGUAUUUCGGUAUGUAAAGCUCUAUCAGCAGGGAAGAUAAUGACGGUACCUGACUAAGAAGCUCCGGCUAAAUACGUGCCAGCAGCCGCGGUAAUACGUAUGGAGCAAGCGUUAUCCGGAUUUACUGGGUGUAAAGGGAGCGCAGGCGGCGCGUUAAGCCUGGUGUGAAAGCCCGCGGCCCAACCGCGGGACUGCAUUGGGAACUGGCGCGCUGGAGUGCCGGCGG